GUAGUCCACGCCGUAAACGAUGAAUGCUAGGUGUUAGGGGUUUCGAUACCCUUGGUGCCGAAGUUAACACAUUAAGCAUUCCGCCUGGGGAGUACGGUCGCAAGACUGAAACUCAAAGGAAUUGACGGGGACCCGCACAAGCAGUGGAGUAUGUGGUUUAAUUCGAAGCAACGCGAAGAACCUUACCAGGUCUUGACAUCCCUCUGAAUCCUCUAGAGAUAGAGGCGGCCUUCGGGACAGAGGAGACAGGUGGUGCAUGGUUGUCGUCAGCUCGUGUCGUGAGAUGUUGGGUUAAGUCCCGCAACGAGCGCAACCCUUGAUUUUAGUUGCCAGCACAUUAAGGUGGGCACUCUAGAAUGACUGCCGGUGACAAACCGGAGGAAGGCGGGGAUGACGUCAAAUCAUCAUGCCCCUUAUGACCUGGGCUACACACGUACUACAAUGGCCAGUACAACGGGAAGCGAAGUCGCGAGAUGGAGCCAAUCCUAUCAAAGCUGGUCUCAGUUCGGAUUGCAGGCUGCAACCCGCCUGCAUGAAGU
RNAcentral lists this ribosomal RNA (539 nucleotides) under Paenibacillus cookii. RNAcentral describes it as "bacterial SSU rRNA". It matches the Rfam family "Bacterial small subunit ribosomal RNA", at positions 790 to 1326 of the family's 1533-position model. Lineage: Bacteria; Bacillati; Bacillota; Bacilli; Caryophanales; Paenibacillaceae. The record is from RNAcentral.